This 533-nucleotide long non-coding RNA is filed under the name Anser brachyrhynchus (Pink-footed goose). Its description in RNAcentral is "lncRNA (ENSABRG00000005575.1)". The record is from RNAcentral. Lineage: Eukaryota; Metazoa; Chordata; Aves; Anseriformes; Anatidae.
UGACAGGACUGAUUUGCACACAUUCCUGAUAACUGUCAUAGCCUCUAAACUCAUGUAUUAAGUAGGGAUGGAGUGUAAUAAGCACUACUGCCAAGGCUGCCUUUUCCAGCUAAGUUUUCUGAUGAUUUCUGGGAGAGGCAGUAACAUGAAUAAAUGAAGACCUUUUUCUAUCCCAUCCACAGUUAGGCAGAAGACUAAGACUGAGCAGGUACAUUCUGGAUGGUCUUGUGUUCUGUACUGGGUCCAUUCUGCAGUGGGUCUCAUUUCAUUAAAAAGGUGACAGCAUUGACGUCAGCUUGAUGUACAGACUUGUAACCAUGCUGAACAUUUUAUAUUCCUUUGCUCUCCUUGGUCUCUUCCUGUUUCUUCUGUAUCAAAGCUAUAGGAAGAAAAUUGUAAAGAAGAGAUGGAGACCCAAUGGAGGAAAUAAAUGCUUCCUUAAGAAAGAAACAAAGAAAUACACAAACCUGUAAUAAAAAGGAAGGAUUCAUGUUGGUUGAAGUAAUGCUUGGACUCCAGCAAGCAAUGAAAAC